This is a non-coding RNA of Salmo salar (Atlantic salmon), 660 nucleotides long. Lineage: Eukaryota; Metazoa; Chordata; Actinopteri; Salmoniformes; Salmonidae. The record is from RefSeq and is a predicted model, not a curated record.
CCAUGUAUUAACCUCAACAUAAUAUUUGUUCUCUUUUUUUUGUUUCAGAAUUUCACCAGAUUGAAGAGAUAUUAUAGGUACAUGUGUUCGACCGUGGUCAUGGACUUUCAUCAGGAACAAACACAGGUGCUCCCAAGGGGGAUGCAAUUCAAAGAGAAGAGAGGAGGGGGACAGAGUAGGAGCUAAAAUACAGCGCAAAUUGAUGGCCACACGUCAAUGAGAUGGAGACAACCAGGGCGAAAGGAUAUAUCAUAUGCAGUUGAGUGGGAGCUCUCCGACGUGACAACGUUUGAAGAAGCACGCCAGUGUGUCACAAACAUUUUCUCAUCAAUGUGACCAUUUCAAUGGGAGAUUCUAGAGUCUACAUGAAGGAGAUUCCAACAUGGCUAUAUCUCAAAGUGAUUACAAAUUAUAUGAAACAACUCAUGCUGACUGAGGCUGUCCUAAUAUGGACACCAGAAAUAUAAUUUAAGGACUUCCCACAGUAAACAUGUAUAUAGAUACUUGUAGUGGUGUAAAGUUCUUAAAAAUAUUUUAAAGUACUACUUAAGUAUUUUUUGGGGGGUAUCUGUACUUUACUUUUACAUUUAUAUUUUUGACUACUUUUACUUUUACUUCACUACAUUCCUUAAGAAAAUAUUGUACUUUUUACUCCAUACA